RNAcentral lists this long non-coding RNA (329 nucleotides) under Homo sapiens (human). RNAcentral's name for it is "HSALNT0003061". The record is from RNAcentral. Lineage: Eukaryota; Metazoa; Chordata; Mammalia; Primates; Hominidae.
GAGAUUUCAUUCAUUCAUGGUUCAUUCAUUCAUGUAACCAACAUUUCUGAGCAUGGCACUUCUGGUGUGCCAGGUGCUGGGACACAGAGUUGAAUUAGACCACUGUCCCUUGGCCUUGAAGAGUUUAUUUACUCAUUCACUCAGCAGCAUUCACCAAGCCCUACUGUGUGCAUUGGUUGGGCAAGGGGUGGUGUUGGGGGUAGAGUGAGCGUUGCUGGCAGGGGGAGCCGGGGUGGAUGUGAAGCAGCCCACAGGUCAGGCCUCCAUAUCUGGAAAGAGCAGGAACCCGGAAAAGAUGCUGUUGGUUCCCUCGAGAGCUGGCGUGGUAG